AGCAGUAGCCGCGGGAAUACGAAGGGUGCAAGCGUUACUCGGAAUUACUGGGCGUAAAGCGUGCGUAGGUGGUGGUUUAAGUCCGUUGUGAAAGCCCUGGGCUCAACCUGGGAAUUGCAGUGGAUACUGGGUCACUAGAGUGUGGUAGAGGAUAGUGGAAUUUCCGGUGUAGCAGUGAAAUGCGUAGAGAUCGGAAGGAACAUCUGUGGCGAAGGCGACUAUCUGGGCCAACACUGACACUGAGGCACGAAAGCGUGGGGAGCAAACAGGAUUAGAUACCCGGUAGUCCCUGUCUCUUAUACA
This 303-nucleotide ribosomal RNA is filed under the name uncultured bacterium. RNAcentral describes it as "partial 16S ribosomal RNA". It matches the Rfam family "Bacterial small subunit ribosomal RNA", at positions 507 to 808 of the family's 1533-position model. The record is from RNAcentral.